GGGAAACAGCAGGCAGUUCAAUUUGACUGAUAGAAUUUGUAAAGGCUCAUAAUGGUAAGUAAGGCUGGAGCAAGAAACUCAGUCAUGACAUACAAAGGCUUGUGGAUGUAACAGACGUAUAUGGAAGCAGUGAGAACCCACCGAAAUUCUUAUGCAUGAACAUGAGAGUGAUCUGGACCAGUAUACUUCUCAAAUUUUAAUGUGCAUAAGGAAUCAACUGGGGAUCCUGUGAAAAUGCAGAUUUGUGUUCAGUAGGCCUGGCUGGGAUGAGAACUAGGGGUUAGCAUUGCUAACAAGCUCCCAGGUGAUGCUGGUGCUGCUGAAUUCAGGACUACAC
This 337-nucleotide long non-coding RNA is filed under the name Homo sapiens (human). RNAcentral's name for it is "non-protein coding lnc-P3H2-8:1". Lineage: Eukaryota; Metazoa; Chordata; Mammalia; Primates; Hominidae. The record is from RNAcentral.